GAUAAACGCUGGCGGCGUGCCUAAUACAUGCAAGUCGAGCGAACGGACGAGAAGCUUGCUUCUCUGAUGUUAGCGGCGGACGGGUGAGUAACACGUGGAUAACCUACCUAUAAGACUGGGAUAACUUCGGGAAACCGGAGCUAAUACCGGAUAAUAUUUUGAACCGCAUGGUUCAAAAGUGAAAGACGGUCUUGCUGUCACUUAUAGAUGGAUCCGCGCUGCAUUAGCUAGUUGGUAAGGUAACGGCUUACCAAGGCAACGAUGCAUAGCCGACCUGAGAGGGUGAUCGGCCACACUGGAACUGAGACACGGUCCAGACUCCUACGGGAGGCAGCAGUAGGGAAUCUUCCGCAAUGGGCGAAAGCCUGACGGAGCAACGCCGCGUGAGUGAUGAAGGUCUUCGGAUCGUAAAACUCUGUUAUUAGGGAAGAACAUAUGUGUAAGUAACUGUGCACAUCUUGACGGUACCUAAUCAGAAAGCCACGGCUAACUACGUGCCAGCAGCCGCGGUAAUACGUAGGUGGCAAGCGUUAUCCGGAAUUAUUGGGCGUAAAGCGCGCGUAGGCGGUUUUUUAAGUCUGAUGUGAAAGCCCACGGCUCAACCGUGGAGGGUCAUUGGAAACUGGAAAACUUGAGUGCAGAAGAGGAAAGUGGAAUUCCAUGUGUAGCGGUGAAAUGCGCAGAGAUAUGGAGGAACACCAGUGGCGAAGGCGACUUUCUGGUCUGUAACUGACGCUGAUGUGCGAAAGCGUGGGGAUCAAACAGGAUUAGAUACCCUGGUAGUCCACGCCGUAAACGAUGAGUGCUAAGUGUUAGGGGGUUUCCGCCCCUUAGUGCUGCAGCUAACGCAUUAAGCACUCCGCCUGGGGAGUACGACCGCAAGGUUGAAACUCAAAGGAAUUGACGGGGACCCGCACAAGCGGUGGAGCAUGUGGUUUAAUUCGAAGCAACGCGAAGAACCUUACCAAAUCUUGACAUCCUUUGACAACUCUAGAGAUAGAGCCUUCCCCUUCGGGGGACAAAGUGACAGGUGGUGCAUGGUUGUCGUCAGCUCGUGUCGUGAGAUGUUGGGUUAAGUCCCGCAACGAGCGCAACCCUUAAGCUUAGUUGCCAUCAUUAAGUUGGGCACUCUAAGUUGACUGCCGGUGACAAACCGGAGGAAGGUGGGGAUGACGUCAAAUCAUCAUGCCCCUUAUGAUUUGGGCUACACACGUGCUACAAUGGACAAUACAAAGGGCAGCGAAACCGCGAGGUCAAGCAAAUCCCAUAAAGUUGUUCUCAGUUCGGAUUGUAGUCUGCAACUCGACUACAUGAGGCUGGAAUCGCUAGUAAUCGUAGAUCAGCAUGCUACGGUGAAUACGUUCCCGGGUCU
RNAcentral lists this ribosomal RNA (1372 nucleotides) under uncultured bacterium. Its description in RNAcentral is "bacterial SSU rRNA". It matches the Rfam family "Bacterial small subunit ribosomal RNA", at positions 28 to 1381 of the family's 1533-position model. The record is from RNAcentral.